RNAcentral lists this ribosomal RNA (475 nucleotides) under uncultured organism. RNAcentral describes it as "partial 16S ribosomal RNA". It matches the Rfam family "Bacterial small subunit ribosomal RNA", at positions 335 to 801 of the family's 1533-position model. The record is from RNAcentral.
ACUCCUGCGGGAGGCAGCAGUGGGGAAUUUUGGACAAUGGGCGAAAGCCUGAUCCAGCAAUGCCGCGUGUGUGAAGAAGGCCUUCGGGUUGUAAAGCACUUUUGUCCGGAAAGAAAUCCUUGGCUCUAAUACAGUCGGGGGAUGACGGUACCGGAAGAAUAAGCACCGGCUAACUACGUGCCAGCAGCCGCGGUAAUACGUAGGGUGCGAGCGUUAAUCGGAAUUACUGGGCGUAAAGCGUGCGCAGGCGGUUUGCUAAGACCGAUGUGAAAUCCCCGGGCUCAACCUGGGAACUGCAUUGGUGACUGGCAGGCUAGAGUAUGGCAGAGGGGGGUAGAAUUCCACGUGUAGCAGUGAAAUGCGUAGAGAUGUGGAGGAAUACCGAUGGCGAAGGCAGCCCCCUGGGCCAAUACUGACGCUCAUGCACGAAAGCGUGGGGAGCAAACAGGAUUAGAUACCCCUGUAGUCCCAUGAU